Molecule: long non-coding RNA, 471 nt
Filed under: Lynx pardinus (Iberian lynx)
Lineage: Eukaryota; Metazoa; Chordata; Mammalia; Carnivora; Felidae
Source: RNAcentral
CUGCCUCCAUCCCCAGGAUGCACAAAGCUAUUACCAGAUACUUCAUGUCACAUUAUCACCAGCCUUCCACUGCAGCUAAGAGCCAGCCCAGCCUUAACCAACCUCUCUCCCCUGCUCCCUCCAUACCAGUGAGUAUAGUUUUCCCUUCUCCCUGGUGAAUGGUGCUUAAGUCCUGCAUGCCAGGCUCCAGGUCUCAACUCAGUAGACCUACUGAUAAUUGUAGCUUCUACCUCUGUGGAGGGAGCAUUCACAGGGUUUUUGUUUUCAUUGUUCCAUGCAUCUAAACAGCACUUAGAAACCCGUUUGUGCAGCUGAUGAUAAUUAUGAUCAUGGUUAAGCAUAUUGUGGCUAUCAUCAUUGUCUCUCGGGCUGGGUGCCGACACAUUGUAAUGUGGGCCCUUCCUUCUUGUCAGCAUUCUAAUGAAUGGUGUUGACCUCUGAGUGUUGACCUGCCUGCCCCUCUCUCUGCUG